GGGGCGUCUGUUUGUGGGCGGGGCUUGAAGGGAGGGGAGGAGCUGAGGGGAAAACUGGUUGUGAGGGGUAGAGUUUACAUUCAAGAUUUCUCCUAAAAACUGGAACGUCCUCAUAGAGCUGAUAUUAUAAACUGUCUCAUUCACUGUCACGGUUUGUGCCACAUGCUGAGAUCAAUAAGAGAAUCAAUAACCACAGAGAUAUGUGACGAUGAUCUAUCAGAGCAGCUCUAACUCGGUUUAACCAGUUUAACUAGUUUACCCAGUUACUGAUGAUCUGAGUCUCUGGAUCAGAGCGAGGAGCUCAUUAAACACAGUUAGAGUCUUUAUUUACUGUGAGCGAGAGUGUGUCCUCACAAGUGUGUGUGUGCGUGUGUGUGUGUGUGUGUGUGUGUGCAGUGUUAUUAUCUCGGAGCCAGCAGUGAUGCAGCGUCCCGGGUCACGGCGUCAGUGUCUCGUCCUCUCGCCUCUCAUGUUCCUGUCCAGAAAAUUUGCCAACGACUGAACAGCAGAGACACACAGAUCUGUCAGCUGACGUACGGUGAGCGCGCGCACACACACACACACACAUGCAUGAAUUUUUAAUCAUCAUCAUACUGACUUCUCUCUGAGCUGAGUCUGAUCAGCUGAAGUGUUUCUGUGGUUAUUACUUGUCGUUUGUUUACAGAGCGCAGUCUGAAGGACCUCAGCAGUGAGGGUCUGAGGAGUCUGAGGGUCUCCGAGCUGAAGGGGAUCUUGACGUCGUGGGGGGAGGAGUGUCGGGGCUGUUUAGAGAAACACGAGUUUGUGAGUUUAAUUCAGGAGAAAGCUGCUCUGCACACACACACCACAGAGCUUUAAAGCCCUUCACACAC
Molecule: long non-coding RNA, 851 nt
Filed under: Xyrichtys novacula (pearly razorfish)
Lineage: Eukaryota; Metazoa; Chordata; Actinopteri; Labriformes; Labridae
Source: RNAcentral